This 254-nucleotide ribosomal RNA is filed under the name uncultured bacterium. RNAcentral describes it as "partial 16S ribosomal RNA". It matches the Rfam family "Bacterial small subunit ribosomal RNA", at positions 524 to 776 of the family's 1533-position model. The record is from RNAcentral.
UACGGAGGGGGCAAGCGUUGUUCGGAAUUACUGGGCGUAAAGGGCGCGCAGGCGGCUGCUCAAGUCAGGCGUGAAAGGCCUGGGCUCAACCCGGGAAUUGCGCUUGAGACUGGGCUGGCUUGAGUGCGGGAGAGGAUGGUGGAAUUCCCAGUGUAGAGGUGAAAUUCGUAGAUAUUGGGAAGAACACCAGUGGCGAAGGCGGCUCACUGGUCCGGUACUGACGCUGAGGUGCGAAAGCGUGGGGAGCAAACAGG